Molecule: ribosomal RNA, 433 nt
Filed under: uncultured bacterium
Lineage: Bacteria
Description: bacterial SSU rRNA
Rfam family: Bacterial small subunit ribosomal RNA
Source: RNAcentral
AACGAACGCUGGCGGCAUGCCUAACACAUGCAAGUCGAACGAAGGCUUCGGCCUUAGUGGCGCACGGGUGCGUAACGCGUGGGAACCUGCCCCUCGGUUCGGAAUAACAGUUAGAAAUGACUGCUAAUACCGGAUGAUGACUUCGGUCCAAAGAUUUAUCGCCGAGGGAUGGGCCCGCGUAGGAUUAGCUAGUUGGUGGGGUAAAGGCCUACCAAGGCGACGAUCCUUAGCUGGUCUGAGAGGAUGAUCAGCCACACUGGGACUGAGACACGGCCCAGACUCCUGCGGGAGGCAGCAGUGGGGAAUAUUGGACAAUGGGCGAAAGCCUGAUCCAGCAAUGCCGCGUGAGUGAUGAAGGCCUUAGGGUUGUAAAGCUCUUUUACCAGGGAUGAUAAUGACAGUACCUGGAGAAUAAGCUCCGGCUAACUCCGUG